UAUAUGUUAGAGGAAUGCUACAAGUUAUUCUUGUAGGCUGCAUUUAUUACAUUGUUUUCCCACUCUUCUUCCACAGAAUGACAAUUGUGCUGUGUAAAGAACUGUCAACUUUCUCUAAAGAGUUUACUACAUGCUUAACGGCUGCAGAGGUCAAAGAGAAAGCAGAUGUGCUUAAUCCCUUAAUCACUGGAGUGUUUUUGGAGGCUUCAAACAGUGCUUCAUAUAUCCAAGAUGCCUUCCAGCUCUUGCUGCCUGUACUUCAGAUCUCUCUUAUUGAGGCUAGAACGGAACUAUCACAGUAAUAAAAACCCUUCUAAUUAAGAACUUUUUGACCUUCCCACUUCAUAGUUUCCAUGCUGGAGAGUGAUGUAAUGGCUCUUAUUAAAGGGAAAAAGAUUAACUCUGAUCGCUGCUGCUGUAAGAACCAUGAUUAAAUGCAGCCUGGCAAUGACAGCUUCUACAGCACUGAGAGAUGUGAUUAGUAUAGUCCAGGUUGGUGGGCAGUGUGACAGACUUAAGUGCAGACUGCUUCUCUGUUUCCACGGACUGACUAUAUCUUCUCACUGAAAUCCCUCUGCUGUAUCUGUUAACAAGCCCUUUGUCUUCACAGUCCAGAGAGCUUCUCCCAGUGCUGGAGAGAAGAGUAGCAGCUGGCUAGUUAAAGAGUUAGCUAAAAUCAUGGUGUGAUUUUUAAGUCAGAGAGACAUAAUUAGGCUCCUGAUAGCUCUGCAUUGGUGUUGAACUGAAUAUUGGAUAGGAGGUGCAAGACAAGGCAAAUAUUUAUGAACCUUGCAGUUCCUAGGCUGGAAAGAAUAGAGCUGGAAGGAGAGGAUUCCUUAUCAAGCUCUUGCUGCUGCUGAGAAGCCCUGGUUGCCUGAAGAUGUCUGCUAAUGACUCAGGGAUGUGGGACUGGGACUGUCACUAGGGUUCUGUUCUCUUGCAGAGUGCUUGCUUCAGCAUGACCUGGGAAAAUGCUGAUCUGGCCCUAAGAAUAUGGGUAUUUUGCUUUAUAGCAAUAAAUGAACUGGCUAAAAGAGA
This is a long non-coding RNA of Neopsephotus bourkii (Bourke's parrot), 1038 nucleotides long. RefSeq lists it as uncharacterized. The record is from RefSeq and is a predicted model, not a curated record. NCBI's taxonomy places the organism in Eukaryota, Metazoa, Chordata, Aves, Psittaciformes, Psittacidae. The transcript has 3 exons.